AACGAACGCUGGCGGCAGGCUUAACACAUGCAAGUCGAAUGCCCCGCAAGGGGAGUGGCGCACGGGUGAGUAACGCGUGGGAAUAUGCCCUUCGGUUCGGAAUAACACAGGGAAACUUGUGCUAAUACCGGAUACGAUCUACGGAUGAGAGAUUCAUCGCCGAGGGAGUAGCCCGCGUCAGAUUAGCUAGUUGGUGGGGUAAUGGCCUACCAAGGCGACGAUCUGUAGCUGGUCUGAGAGGAUGAUCAGCCACACUGGGACUGAGACACGGCCCAGACUCCUACGGGAGGCAGCAGUGGGGAAUAUUGGACAAUGGGGGAAACCCUGAUCCAGCCAUGCCGCGUGAGUGAUGAAGGCCUUAGGGUUGUAAAGCUCUGUCGCAGGGGAAGAAUAAGCAUCGGUAUAAUACGCCGGUGCCCUGACGGUACCCUGCAAGAAAGCACCGGCUAACUCCGUGCCAGCAGCCGCGGUAAU
RNAcentral lists this ribosomal RNA (474 nucleotides) under uncultured bacterium. Its description in RNAcentral is "bacterial SSU rRNA". It matches the Rfam family "Bacterial small subunit ribosomal RNA", at positions 29 to 524 of the family's 1533-position model. The record is from RNAcentral.